CGCUCAGGUGCGAAAGCGUGGGGAGCAAACAGGAUUAGAUACCCUGGUAGUCCACGCCGUAAACGAUGUCUACUUGGAGGUUGUGCCCUUGAGGCGUGGCUUCCGGAGCUAACGCGUUAAGUAGACCGCCUGGGGAGUACGGCCGCAAGGUUAAAACUCAAAUGAAUUGACGGGGGCCCGCACAAGCGGUGGAGCAUGUGGUUUAAUUCGAUGCAACGCGAAGAACCUUACCUGGUCUUGACAUCCACAGAACUUUCCAGAGAUGGAUUGGUGCCUUCGGGAACUGUGAGACAGGUGCUGCAUGGCUGUCGUCAGCUCGUGUUGUGAAAUGUUGGGUUAAGUCCCGCAACGAGCGCAAC
This 359-nucleotide ribosomal RNA is filed under the name Salmonella enterica. RNAcentral's name for it is "bacterial SSU rRNA". It matches the Rfam family "Bacterial small subunit ribosomal RNA", at positions 744 to 1102 of the family's 1533-position model. RNAcentral also lists the same sequence under 1 other name. Lineage: Bacteria; Pseudomonadati; Pseudomonadota; Gammaproteobacteria; Enterobacterales; Enterobacteriaceae. The record is from RNAcentral.